GGUGGGGUGGUGCAGUGGGUAGCACUGUUCCCUCACAGAAAGAAGGUCCUUGGUUUGAAUCCUGGCCUUUCUG
Molecule: transfer RNA, 73 nt
Filed under: Anguilla anguilla (European eel)
Lineage: Eukaryota; Metazoa; Chordata; Actinopteri; Anguilliformes; Anguillidae
Description: tRNA-OTHER
Source: RNAcentral